ACCCUUUAAUGUUUGAUGUUCUAACGUUGACCCGUAAUCCGGGUUGCGGACAGUGUCUGGUGGGUAGUUUGACUGGGGCGGUCUCCUCCUAAAGAGUAACGGAGGAGCACGAAGGUUGGCUAAUCCUGGUCGGACAUCAGGAGGUUAGUGCAAUGGCAUAAGCCAGCUUGACUGCGAGCGUGACGGCGCGAGCAGGUGCGAAAGCAGGUCAUAGUGAUCCGGUGGUUCUGAAUGGAAGGGCCAUCGCUCAACGGAUAAAAGGUACUCCGGGGAUAACAGGCUGAUACCGCCCAAGAGUUCAUAUCGACGGCGGUGUUUGGCACCUCGAUGUCGGCUCAUCACAUCCUGGGGCUGAAGUAGGUCCCAAGGGUAUGGCUGUUCGCCAUUUAAAGUGGUACGCGAGCUGGGUUUAGAACGUCGUGAGACAGUUCGGUCCCUAUCUGCCGUGGGCGCUGGAGAACUGAGGGGGGCUGCUCCUAGUACGAGAGGACCGGAGUGGACGCAUCACUGGUGUUCGGGUUGUCAUGCCAAUGGCACUGCCCGGUAGCUAAAUGCGGAAGAGAUAAGUGCUGAAAGCAUCUAAGCACGAAACUUGCCCCGAGAUGAGUUCUCCCUGACUCCCUGAGAGUCCUGAAGGAACGUUGAAGACGACGACGUUGAUAGGCCGGGUGUGUAAGCGCAGCGAUGCGUUGAGCUAACCGGUACUAAUGAACCGUGAGGCUUAACCUUACAACGCCGAAG
RNAcentral lists this ribosomal RNA (741 nucleotides) under Escherichia coli. Its description in RNAcentral is "partial 23S ribosomal RNA". It matches the Rfam family "Bacterial large subunit ribosomal RNA", at positions 2202 to 2925 of the family's 2925-position model. The record is from RNAcentral. Lineage: Bacteria; Pseudomonadati; Pseudomonadota; Gammaproteobacteria; Enterobacterales; Enterobacteriaceae.